RNAcentral lists this ribosomal RNA (460 nucleotides) under uncultured bacterium. RNAcentral's name for it is "partial 16S ribosomal RNA". It matches the Rfam family "Bacterial small subunit ribosomal RNA", at positions 338 to 795 of the family's 1533-position model. The record is from RNAcentral.
CCUACGGGAGGCAGCAGUGAGGAAUAUUGGUCAAUGGACGAGAGUCUGAACCAGCCAAGUAGCGUGAAGGAUGACUGCCCUAUGGGUUGUAAACUUCUUUUAUAUGGGAAUAAAAUGUUCCACGUGUGGGUUUUUGUAUGUACCAUAUGAAUAAGGAUCGGCUAACUCCGUGCCAGCAGCCGCGGUAAUACGGAGGAUCCGAGCGUUAUCCGGAUUUAUUGGGUUUAAAGGGAGCGUAGGUGGGUUGUUAAGUCAGUUGUGAAAGUUUGCGGCUCAACCGUAAAAUUGCAGUUGAUACUGGCAGUCUUGAGUACAGUAGAGGUGGGCGGAAUUCGUGGUGUAGCGGUGAAAUGCUUAGAUAUCACGAAGAACUCCGAUUGCGAAGGCAGCUCACUGGACUGCAACUGACACUGAGGCUCGAAAGUGUGGGUAUCAAACAGGAUUAGAUACCCUAGUAGUC